Molecule: ribosomal RNA, 336 nt
Filed under: Triticum aestivum (bread wheat)
Lineage: Eukaryota; Viridiplantae; Streptophyta; Magnoliopsida; Poales; Poaceae
Description: partial small subunit ribosomal RNA
Source: RNAcentral
AUGGAUCCAGAGUACCUACGGUCGGGCCUACUGACUGAAAAAAGCGAUGUCUACAGCUUUGGAGUUGUGAUACUGGAACUUAUUAGUAGGCAGCAGGCAACACAUUCUGAUGGUAGUGGAUUAGUAGACAAUUUCCUUGCAGCCCACAAAGAAAAUAGAGUUGUUGCAUUGUUUGAUAAGGCAUUUACAAGGCCGAGAGAUUUGGAGCUUCUUGGUAAUCUUGCAAGGAUCGCUAUACAAUGUCUUAAAGAUGAUGUGAAUCAAAGGCCAUCAAUGGUGGAGGUAGCUGAGCGCGUUCUUGCAAUUUAUCAAUCUCAUAUCACGCUAAUUCAGUGA